GGUUGGGCCCCAUGCGACGAUCAUGGCCAAAACCCCGCCAGGGCCGGAAGGCAGCAACGGUAUGGCUGGCGGUCGGGCGCCGUGGGUGUCCUGGCCUUU
RNAcentral lists this signal recognition particle RNA (99 nucleotides) under Lentisphaerota bacterium. RNAcentral describes it as "Lentisphaerae bacterium (anaerobic digester metagenome) signal recognition particle sRNA small type". It matches the Rfam family "Bacterial small signal recognition particle RNA". Rfam says of the family: The signal recognition particle (SRP) is a universally conserved ribonucleoprotein involved in the co-translational targeting of proteins to membranes. Lineage: Bacteria; Pseudomonadati; Lentisphaerota. The record is from RNAcentral.